RNAcentral lists this long non-coding RNA (356 nucleotides) under Daucus carota (carrot). RNAcentral's name for it is "long non-coding RNA (DCAR_LNC001853)". Lineage: Eukaryota; Viridiplantae; Streptophyta; Magnoliopsida; Apiales; Apiaceae. The record is from RNAcentral.
UUUAAUUCUUUCGCAAAUAGCAAACCUGCAAACUGGACAUUGUCCGUGGCUCUUCACCCACGGGACAAUGCACUCUUCGUGGAACAUAUGAUUACACGGAGUGAGCAUCACCAUUUGCCGAGGUUCAAACUCUUCUAAGCAUAUUGCACAGUUCUUCCCAUCUUCAUCUGCCUCUUUUUCCUUUGUACUUGCAUUGUUGUUGACAUUUUUUUCGCGAUAAUACAGACUUAAGCUUCGCAUUAUCUUUUUGGCUGCAGGGUUAUAGAUUUCCCUCUUCAGCUUUUUCAGAGCUGCUUCUUGCUCUUCCGGGGACAAAAUUGACUGUUCUUGUGCAGGAAAGGGGAAAUGAUCUCGCG